GAUGAACGCUAGCGGCAGGCCUAACACAUGCAAGUCGAGGGGUAACUAGAGUGAUAGCAAUAUUACUUUGGCUAGACCGGCGCACGGGUGCGUAACACGUAUGCAACCUACCUUAUACUGGGGAAUAACUUCGAGAAAUCGGCGCUAAUACCCCAUAACACUGCGGAGAGGCAUCUCUUUGCAGUUAAAGCUCCGGCGGUAUAAGAUGGGCAUGCGUCCAAUUAGCUAGUUGGUGAGGUAACGGCUCACCAAGGCUACGAUUGGUAGGGGUUCUGAGAGGAUGAUCCCCCACACUGGUACUGAGACACGGACCAGACUCCUACGGGAGGCAGCAGUGAGGAAUAUUGCGCAAUGGACGAAAGUCUGACGCAGCCAUGCCGCGUGCAGGAUGACGGCCCUAUGGGUUGUAAACUGCUUUUGUACGGGAAUAAACCCUUCUACGUGUAGGAGGCUGAAGGUACCGUAAGAAUAAGCAUCGGCUAACUCCGUGCCAGCCGCCGCGGUAA
RNAcentral lists this ribosomal RNA (506 nucleotides) under uncultured bacterium. RNAcentral describes it as "partial 16S ribosomal RNA". It matches the Rfam family "Bacterial small subunit ribosomal RNA", at positions 28 to 523 of the family's 1533-position model. The record is from RNAcentral.